This 841-nucleotide ribosomal RNA is filed under the name Escherichia coli. Its description in RNAcentral is "partial 23S ribosomal RNA". It matches the Rfam family "Bacterial large subunit ribosomal RNA", at positions 2102 to 2925 of the family's 2925-position model. Lineage: Bacteria; Pseudomonadati; Pseudomonadota; Gammaproteobacteria; Enterobacterales; Enterobacteriaceae. The record is from RNAcentral.
UACUAUAGCUUGACACUGAACAUUGAGCCUUGAUGUGUAGGAUAGGUGGGAGGCUUUGAAGUGUGGACGCCAGUCUGCAUGGAGCCGACCUUGAAAUACCACCCUUUAAUGUUUGAUGUUCUAACGUUGACCCGUGAUCCGGGUUGCGGACAGUGUCUGGUGGGUAGUUUGACUGGGGCGGUCUCCUCCUAAAGAGUAACGGAGGAGCACGAAGGUUGGCUAAUCCUGGUCGGACAUCAGGAGGUUAGUGCAAUGGCAUAAGCCAGCUUGACUGCGAGCGUGACGGCGCGAGCAGGUGCGAAAGCAGGUCAUAGUGAUCCGGUGGUUCUGAAUGGAAGGGCCAUCGCUCAACGGAUAAAAGGUACUCCGGGGAUAACAGGCUGAUACCGCCCAAGAGUUCAUAUCGACGGCGGUGUUUGGCACCUCGAUGUCGGCUCAUCACAUCCUGGGGCUGAAGUAGGUCCCAAGGGUAUGGCUGUUCGCCAUUUAAAGUGGUACGCGAGCUGGGUUUAGAACGUCGUGAGACAGUUCGGUCCCUAUCUGCCGUGGGCGCUGGAGAACUGAGGGGGGCUGCUCCUAGUACGAGAGGACCGGAGUGGACGCAUCACUGGUGUUCGGGUUGUCAUGCCAAUGGCACUGCCCGGUAGCUAAAUGCGGAAGAGAUAAGUGCUGAAAGCAUCUAAGCACGAAACUUGCCCCGAGAUGAGUUCUCCCUGACUCCUUGAGAGUCCUGAAGGAACGUUGAAGACGACGACGUUGAUAGGCCGGGUGUGUAAGCGCAGCGAUGCGUUGAGCUAACCGGUACUAAUGAACCGUGAGGCUUAACCUUACAACGCCGAAG